GCGGCGCCGCUGGGUUUCGGCUAAGUUUUUCAGCUGUUUGGCCGGUGGUUUGGCUCCGGUUUGGCCAUAGGCGGACUCAGCGUCGAAAAACAAGUAAGGGAGAGAAAAAUUACCUCAAUCAGCGGUCGAAAAUUUCCCCAGUGCGGCGGCGGGUAGUGGCGGCCGGCUCCUCCGGCGACUGGUUCUUCUUCUCCGGCGAGCACUGGCAGCUAGGGUUUCUUUGGUCAGGUGUGGGUGGGGGUAUUUAUACCCUUCGCCUUUUAAUCUUGACCAUCCAUCAAGAUUGAAUCUGGGCCGUUCGAUCGCGAUUUAAUUGGGAUUAAAUCUGGGCCGUUCAUCGCGAUGCAAUCUGGGUCGUCUGUGCCUGAUUGAAUCUGGGCCGUCCGUGCGCGUGAAUCUAGGCCGUCCGUGCGCACGUUUGAUCUUGGUCGUCCGUGCGCACGGGAACAGAUCUGGGCUGUCCAAUCGCGCGCACGCAGAUCGCCCCCGUGGCCCGUCCCCUGGUCAGCGUGUCCUUGCCACGCGGCGCGUCCUGAUUGGCCGGGGCUGCUGACCGAGCCGCU
This 563-nucleotide long non-coding RNA is filed under the name Carica papaya (papaya). Its description in RNAcentral is "long non-coding RNA (CPAP_LNC005481)". The record is from RNAcentral. Lineage: Eukaryota; Viridiplantae; Streptophyta; Magnoliopsida; Brassicales; Caricaceae.